CUCCAGGCUUGGAAAGCUGUAUGACUGCUGCUUCUGUCAUUGAACGACCAAGGGAAACAUUCGUGCUUCCCUAAUGCUGGCCUCCUGGGGGGAGUGUGUUUUAGGAGAUGGGCAGUCUGACUGAGUCAAACGGUACACACAUCACGGGCCAGUUAAUCCUGGGACUUUACCUAUCAAUGAGAUGACAGAACCGAGGCACAGAGAGGGUUGGACCCAGCUGGGACUGGAAGCCAGACCGUUGGCUCCAGUGGACAUGCCCUUUGUCUCUACUCUGUGGGCUUCUAACCUGAAACUCGCGGAUGGCAGUGGAGAGGGGAGAGAAGCCCGCUGGCAUCUGAGGACAACAAUCUCUAGAUGAACUUUCCUGUUAGCUAUGUUUCCAAGCCCGUGAAGCUCUGAGAAAGACCUGGCUUGGAGGAUGGAGCGGGGAGUGCAGGUUACUGAAGACCAGGCUUGCUGGAAGGACUGCAGGUUGGAGAUCUCCAUGAUGUUAAGCGAGGUGUCAAGGGAAGACUCCCAAAGAACCCACGCAAGCGCUACACAGGAGAAAGAAUCAGCCUGACCCAGAUUGCAAGGAUUACAACCAAAUACCGAACAUCCUGAAAACAGAGCUGCGUUCUGCCCACUGUAGUUCCCACGAUGGCCUCAGUGCAAAGUGCCAGCUGUGUGAGCUGGUGACCAGGAGCAGGGUCUCUGCCUAGAGAGGUCUACACCUGAGGAAGUGAUGGAUGGGAAACUGAGUGGAGAUCAACGGAAGAGCAAGAACUAUCUCUGUGAUUACAAUUGAAGACAAAUUGGCCUUGUUGAACUGUAGAGGUUGGGACCAAAGUAUGAAAGAAGAGGACUUAUAAUUGGGCACUUGCCUCUGGGAGGGAAAAAGGAGAUCGCAAACCUGAAGCUGUGCCAUGGGCUUGGCUUUCUGGGCAGGCGAGCCCCCAUGGACACUAACCGUCUCUCCCCUCCCUGUCCCCACUGUCUCCUGGCUGGUCUUCCUGGCCAGACGCUGGAGGGUGAUCUGCUCUUUCAUAUUGCAGUACAUGACUCAUUUCUUCCUUGCCUUCUGACUUCCUUUCUUUCAUUCCUCAUUCUUAACAGUUUUACCAGCUAUUUAAAAUGCAUACUCUUAGAAAAUAUAAUGCAAAUGCAUGGAAAAGAUGGAAACGGUGGGAAAGGAAUACAGAGAAAAUUGUCUUCCUUCCACCCCUGACUCUUGACAAAAGUUCCUUCUGAAGGACCCACCACUGAUACUAAUUUCCAGAGUAUACCUUCCCAGAGAAAUUAUAUAUAUAUAUAUCAGCAGAAGUACCUAUCUAUCCAUGUGCGCCAUAGAUGCAAGCCUGUCAUGUGCUUCCUGCAACUUGCUAUUUCAGGCAGACUCCUUCUAAAACACCAUCCUGCUUAAAAUACUUUAAUAGAUCCCAGUUCUCUGCAGAAUAAAGCUCAGUCUCUUCCUGGUCAGAGCAUCUUUCACAAUCUAACUCCCCAAAUGAGCAUUGCCUUCCAGUCCGGUGCCUCUCUCCCUCCAGCUCCCUCCUUCUUCUCUUCCCGCCCCACCCAGGUUUCAGCCUCAGUGGAUCUCCAGACCUAUAAGUCUCACUGCUGUUAGUUCCUUGGUCUAAAGACACUUGCUUUACCUCUUCUGCUUGUCAAAAACAUUCCUUUUUUUUUUUUAAAGAUUGGCACCUGAGCUAAUAUCUGUUGCCAAUCUUCUUUUUUUUUUUUCCUUCUUCUUCCCAGUGCCCCCCAGUACAUAGUUGUAUAUUGUAGUUGUAGGUCCUUCUGGUUGUGCUGUGUGGGAUGCCACCUCACCAUGGCCUGAUGAGUGGUGCUAGGUACGUGCCCAGGAUCCAAACCAGCGAAACCCUGGGCUGCUGAAGUGGAGUGUGUGAACUUAACCACUUGGCCACGGGGCCGGCCUCUCAUUCGCAUCUUUAAAGAAUCAAUUCCACAUGUCACUCUGCUGUGAAGCCUUCUCCAAAUUUCUCAGCCAUGUUGACUGUUCCCCUUCUCUAAGGACCCUCCCUGUCAAGUUCUGUAUCCAUCAGUGGGUAGUUCAUUUAUUCUCUGAACACCCUUGAAAUGCCAAAUGCUGUGCUAAGGGCAAGAGAGACCACAAGAAACAACACAGUCUCUGCCCUCAAGGAACCUAGCAGUGAAAAGCGACACACUAUGAUAGCAGUGUGUGAUGAAUACAAGGUGCUGAGAUAUGUAGAAAAGGGGCCCUUCGUGCAUACUGGGCUGGGACUAGUUGGGGAGGUUCCUAGGGGAGGCAGAACCUAAGCCAAUGCCUAAAGUUCUAGAAGGAUGAGCCACGCGAGGAGUUGUGGAGAAUGGGGAAGAGUCGAAAUGUCCCUGAGGAGCCAUGUCGCACCAAGAGAAAGGCAAGUGCAAAAGUUAAGGAGCACCAGAUUUCAUGUGACAUCAAAGCUCUCAAUCAACAUGGCAGGAGGCGAGAGCUGUGAGGGCAAAGUCAGGUAACCAAUGGAAGACAAAGUCUUGGGUAAAUGAUGAAGUACUCUUCAAACAACUGGUGUAGGAGUAAGAGACUCAUCAACUCUGGCAAUUGCAGAUUCAUGAUCUUUGACUUCCAAGUUGCAGCAGCCUCUGAAGAUUUACAGAGGAUUGGAGGAAGGGCAAAGAUCGUCACUCAACAUGAUGGCCUUUGAGUACUUAAAUUAUAGAUAUUGACAAGGUGCUGCCGGGAAAUUUUGAAGGUUAGCAUUUUGGUGAAUUGCUCUGUAAAUCCACGUACAUAUUAAUAAUGCUAAGAGCGGUAGGGAUUAGCCUCUUUUGAGGUCUUACUCUGCUUCUGACACUAUUGUAAGUGCUGUAUGUAUUAGAAUCUAUUUAAUCCCAACUACUUAAAGCAUGGGUAUACUAUUACUAUUCCCAUUUUAUAGAUGAGGAAACUGAGAUACUGAGAGGUUAAGAGGCUUUCCCGAUGUCGCAGAACUUGUUCAUGGUGGAGCCAGGAUUGAAAUCCUAGCAGUCUGGUCAGAGCCCAUGUUCCUAACCACUAGACACCACUGCCUCUCCCCAGCUGCAACUGGCGGGUGUUUGGACGAGCCUGCUGCCAAGCCUGGUGACCCAAGCCCAUUCCAGAAAAUGAGUCCUGGAAUAAAGGACAGAUCGACAGUAGGUGGAGUGUGCAUGGCCUACCCUUGGCAUCCUGAAGCAGCCGCCGUCUGAAAAUAACAAUUUGGGGAGUUCAAUUAACAGCACACUUGCAGGAACACCAAGAACAAGAGGAACUCCAUGGGUGAAUGACUUGGGGACGAAAAUCAGAAUUGAGGGGCCUUGGUUGCCAUCUUUCAAGCUGCCAUGGACAGCAACAGGCAGAGCUGAAUGUGCCCCGUUUUGGCAGGAGAGUGGUCAAGAUUAAUUACCCAGAUGGAUCGCUUUGCUCAGAAAAAGCCAGCAGAUGGUUUGAUGUAGUGACUUCUGCAACCAUAAAACCAGGAGAUGUAUAGCUAUCUCUGUGCUAAAUGGGGCCUUGAAGAGAUUAACCUCACGUAUAAAGUGAAAAUGAUAUGCAUGAGUUUCACCAGGUAGGGGAAACGACUCGCGAUCCUUGCAAAUAAUGAUUUCAUGCCAAGGAUGCUGGAUUCAAAUGUCAAACUAUGGAAAAGCUUUCUUGAAAGACAGCCUAUGGGACUGUGGGAGAAGUGCUGGAUUCUGAUAGGCAGAAGAUUAGAAUUUUAUGUCAACGCCUUGCAAAGAUCCCUGAAUACAUAAGCUUUAAGGAAAGGGGGGUAGGUUGGAAGUUCUGUUUAUUUUAUAGCCAAGAUAUAUCUUCAAAGUGAAUGUGUGUCAACGCCAUCAACCCAGCUGGGAGCUUUGUGACCUCCACCCACUCCCAGGGGAAGGUGAGAGUGAGGCCAGUUGGGGGUUGCAGGCUGGGCUGUGGUGUCUGGGUUGGCACAUCUUACUGCCUCAUCAGCCUUACUCGCUGGUCCUACACUGGGCUGCAUUUCUGCCAGCCGCACGCGGCAUUUCUAAGGUGAAGAAAGAUGUUCAAGUCACAGCUCUGCUGCUGCCUAAUGGUAUGAUGUUGGGUGAGUCAACAUCUCUGAGCCUCAGUUUAUUUGUUGAUGAAAUGGGAUAACAAUCCCCCAGAGAUGUUGUAAGGAUUGAGAUAGUGAUAUGAAAAAGCUGCAGUCACCCUGACAUGCUAGCUGUCGUCGUUAGCAGGAUUUGAGGCGUAAUUCACCUGAUAUCCUCCUUCUACUGCUGGUCCUUCACACACCGCUUUGUUUCAUUUGUUUUUACCACAUUUUAUUGCACUAAAUUAGAUAUACCGUAAAAUUUACCAUAGUAACCAUUUUUAAGUAUACAGUUCAGGGGCAUGAAAUACACUCACAAUGUUGUACACCCAUCACCACUAUUCAUUUCUAGAACUUUUCCAUCAUCUCAAAUUGAGAUUCUAUACCCACUAAAUAAUAACUCCCCUCCCUUUCUUCCCUCCCCUAAGUCCCUGGUAACCUCUUUUCUACUUUCUGUCUGUAUGAAUUUACCUCUUCUGGAUAUUUCAUGUAAGUGGAAUCAUAUGAUAUGAAACCUUUUAUGUUUAGCUUAUUUCGCUUAGCAUAAUGUCUUCAAGGUUGAUGCAGCCUUGAAACAUGAUGCAUGUUGCAGCAUGUGUCAGAAUUUCCUUCCUUUUAAAGCUGAAUAAUAUUCCAUUGUAUGUGUAUACCAUGUUUUGCUUAUUAUUCAUCUGGUGGUUGUUUCCACUUUUUGACAAUUGUGAAUAUUAUUCCUAUGAACAUUCAUGUAAAAGUACCUGAGUUCCUGCUUUCAAUUCUUUUGUUUUUUAAGGAAAUUUGACUUUUUUUUUUUUUUGAGGAAGAUUAGCCCUGAGCUAACAUCUGCUGCCAAUCCUUCUCUUUUUGCUGAGGAAGAUUGGCCCUGACCUAACAUCUGUGAACAUCUUCUUCUAUUUUAUAUGUGGGACAUCUGCCACAGCAUGGCUUGAUGAGUGGUGCAUAGCUCCACACCCAAGAUCUGAACCGGCGAACCCUGGGCCACCAAAGCGGAACAUGAGAACUUAACCACUGUGCCACCGGGGUGACCCCUCAAUUCUUUUGAGUAUAUACCUAGGAGUGGAAUUU
This is a long non-coding RNA of Equus asinus (donkey), 5108 nucleotides long. The record is from Ensembl. NCBI's taxonomy places the organism in Eukaryota, Metazoa, Chordata, Mammalia, Perissodactyla, Equidae.